Molecule: long non-coding RNA, 1700 nt
Organism: Gorilla gorilla gorilla (western lowland gorilla)
Lineage: Eukaryota; Metazoa; Chordata; Mammalia; Primates; Hominidae
Product: Putative dehydrogenase/reductase SDR family member 4-like 1
Exons: 10
Source: RefSeq, a predicted model, not a curated record
UCAAAACAUUUGCCCUCCUGUGGGCUGUCACAUACAUAGACCCAGACUUUCUUGGAGAAGGAAUUCUGAAGAAGCAAAAGCAACCAACUCAAAACCCCUACUUCCCCAAGAAGAAAACGUGGGCAAGCAGAUGCAGAAAGGCAGCAGCCAAAGCCUGCGGGUUCCUGCGGGGGCCAGGGGAGGGGCGAGCCCUACAGGCAACUUGAACGGAGAGCGCUUUGAUCACCCGCCAGCCCGGGAAGGCAAGCCCCAGUCAGGCGGAAGGUAGAUGGUGGAGGGGCGCGGCGACUGGCGGGCGGCGGGAGGCACCAACCGCCACAGACCACUCCCAGCUGGCCGAGGGCGGGGAGGGGGCAGGCAGGGAAGCGGCCCGCCCUUCGUCCUGCCCCUCGCCCUACUCUCUGUCACCUCCGCUGGAAGGAGUGGACCCCAGACUUGCUGGUCUGAUCCAUGCACAAGGCGGGGCUGCUAGGCCACUGUGCCCGGGCACGGAAGUCGGUGCGGAUGGCCAGCUCCGGGAUGACCCGCCGGGACCCGCUCACAAAUAAGGUGGCCCUGGUAACGGCCUCCACCGACGGGAUCGGCUUCGCCGUCGCCCAGCGUCUGGCCCAAGACGGGGCCCACGUGGUUGUCAGCAGCCGGAAGCAGCAGAAUGUGGACAAGGCAGUGGCCACGCUGCAGGGGGAGGGGCUGAGCAUGACGGGCACCGUGUGCCAUGUGGGGAAGGUGAAGGACUGGGAGCGGCUGGUGGCCACAGCUAUGAAGCUUCAUGGAGUUAUUGGUAUCCUAUCAAUAUCGAUAACAAACUCCAAAAGAGGGUUGUUUUGGUUUACACUUCUGCAGACUGUAGAAGAAGCGUGGGAUAGAACUCUGGACAUUAAUGGGAAGGCCCCAGCCCUGAUGACAAAGGCAGUGGUGCCAGAAAUGGAGAAACGAGGGGGUGGUUCAGUGGGGUUCCUGGCCUCUGUAGCAGCCUUCAGGCCACUUCCUGGCUUCAGUCCUUACAAUGUCAGUAAAACAGCCUUGCUGGGCCUCAGCAAGACCCUGGCCAUAGAGCUGGCCCCAAGGAACAUUAGGGUGAACUGCCUGGCACCUGGACUUAUCAAGACUAGCUUCAGCAGGAUGCUCUGGAUGGACAAGGAAAAAGAGAAAAGCAUGAAAGAAACCCUGCGGAUAAGAAGGUUAGGCGAGCCAGAGGAUUGUGCUGGCAUCGUGUCUUUCCUGUGCUCUGAAGAUGCCAGCUACAUCACUGGGGAAACAGUGGUGGUGGGUGGAGGAACCCCGUCCCGCCUCUGAGGACCGGGAGACAGCCCACAGGGCAGAGUUGGGCUCUAGCUCCUGGUGCUGUUCCUGCAUUCAUCCACUGGCCUUUCCCACCUCUGCUCACCUUACUGUUCACCUCAUAAAAUCAGUUCUGCCCUGUGAAAAGAUCCAGCCUUCCCGGCCGUCAAGGUGGCGUCUUACUCGGGAUUCCUGCUGUUGUUGUGGCCUUGGGUAAAGGCCUCCCCUGAGAACACAGGACAGGCCUGCUGACAAGGCUGAGUCUACCUUGGCAAAGACCAAGAUAUUUUUUGCCCAGGCCACUGGGGAAUUUGAGGGGAGAUGAGAGAGAAGGAAGCUGGAGUGGAAGGAGCAGAGUUGCAAAUUAACAACUUGCAAAUGAGGUGCAAAUAAAAUGCAGAUGAUUGCGCGGCUUUGAA